AUACGGAGGGUGCAAGCGUUAUCCGGAAUCAUUGGGUUUAAAGGGUCCGUAGGCGGGCAAUUAAGUCAGAGGUGAAAGUUUGCGGCUCAACCGUAAAAUUGCCUUUGAAACUGGUUGUCUUGAAUUAUUAUGAAGUGGUUAGAAUAAGUAGUGUAGCGGUGAAAUGCAUAGAUAUUACUUAGAAUACCAAUUGCGAAGGCAGAUCACUAAUAAUAUAUUGACGCUGAUGGACGAAAGCGUGGGGAGCGAACAGGAUUAGAAACCCUUGUAGUCC
RNAcentral lists this ribosomal RNA (274 nucleotides) under uncultured bacterium. Its description in RNAcentral is "partial 16S ribosomal RNA". It matches the Rfam family "Bacterial small subunit ribosomal RNA", at positions 523 to 796 of the family's 1533-position model. The record is from RNAcentral.